This 349-nucleotide long non-coding RNA is filed under the name Brassica napus (rape). RNAcentral describes it as "long non-coding RNA (BNAP_LNC001699)". The record is from RNAcentral. Lineage: Eukaryota; Viridiplantae; Streptophyta; Magnoliopsida; Brassicales; Brassicaceae.
UCCAAAAUAAAUUGCAAAAAGGUCCUUAAGAAAUCAUGAUUUUCGGCAGCAAAAUAACGCGGAGCGACUUGCAGGUGUCGCUCCGGGAAGUCGCUCCAGGGCCGAUUUUUGGUGUCUCCGGGCGAGAGGUCGCGAGCGACUUUGGUGUGUCGCUCCAACGGGUCGCUCUGGAUCGGGAGCGACCUUGGUAGGUCGCUCUGAGAGGUCGCUCCAGGCUUCGCUUCGUGUCGUCUCUCCAUAAAGACGCGAGCGACCUCGGGGUGUCGCUUUGGGAGGUCGCUCCGAGAGGGGUGUGAGAUGCGAGCGACUUCGUGGUGUCGCUCCGGGAGGUCGCUCUGGGCUCGUUCUC